UGGGGAAUUUUGGACAAUGGGGGAAACCCUGAUCCAGCCAUCCCGCGUGUGCGAUGAAGGCCUUCGGGUUGUAAAGCACUUUUGGCAGGAAAGAAACGUCAUGGGUUAAUACCCCGUGAAACUGACGGUACCUGCAGAAUAAGCACCGGCUAACUACGUGCCAGCAGCCGCGGUAAUACGUAGGGUGCAAGCGUUAAUCGGAAUUACUGGGCGUAAAGCGUGCGCAGGCGGUUCGGAAAGAAAGAUGUGAAAUCCCAGAGCUCAACUUUGGAACUGCAUUUUUAACUACCGGGCUAGAGUGUGUCAGAGGGAGGUGGAAUUCCGCGUGUAGCAGUGAAAUGCGUAGAUAUGCGGAGGAACACCGAUGGCAAAGGCAGCCUCCUGGGAUAACACUGACGCUCAUGCACGAAAGCGUGGGGAGCAAACAGG
This 429-nucleotide ribosomal RNA is filed under the name Acidobacteriota bacterium. Its description in RNAcentral is "Acidobacteria bacterium partial 16S ribosomal RNA". It matches the Rfam family "Bacterial small subunit ribosomal RNA", at positions 355 to 776 of the family's 1533-position model. The record is from RNAcentral. Lineage: Bacteria; Pseudomonadati; Acidobacteriota.